This 440-nucleotide ribosomal RNA is filed under the name uncultured bacterium. RNAcentral describes it as "partial 16S ribosomal RNA". It matches the Rfam family "Bacterial small subunit ribosomal RNA", at positions 338 to 795 of the family's 1533-position model. The record is from RNAcentral.
CCUACGGGAGGCUGCAGUGGGGAAUAUUGGACAAUGGGGGGAACCCUGAUCCAGCGACGCCGCGUGAGUGAAGAAGUAUUUCGGUAUGUUAAGCUCCAUCAGUAGGGAAGAAAAUGACGGUACCUGACCAAGAAGCCCCGGCUAACUACGUGCCAGCAGCCGCGGCAAUACGGAGGGGGCAAGCGUUAUUCGGAUUUACUGGGUGUAAAGGGAGCGUAGACGGUGCAGCAAGUCUGAUGUGAAAGGUCGGGGCCCAACCCCGGGACUGCAUUGGAAACUGUUGAACUGGAGUACAGGAGAGGGAAGCGGAAUGCCUAGUGUAGCGGUGAAAUGCGUAGAUAUUGAGAGGAACACCAGUGGCGAAGGCGGCUUACUGGACUGUAACUGACGUUGAGGCUCGAAAGCGUGGGGAGCGAACAGGAUUAGAUACCCGAGUAGUC